ACCAGUGUGGCAUAGUGGUUUGAGCGUUGGACCAUGACUCUGGAAAGCAGGGUUCAAUUCCCUGCUCAGUCA
Non-coding RNA from Phrynosoma platyrhinos (Desert horned lizard), 72 nucleotides. NCBI's taxonomy places the organism in Eukaryota, Metazoa, Chordata, Lepidosauria, Squamata, Phrynosomatidae. The record is from the annotation of a GenBank genome assembly.